This 253-nucleotide ribosomal RNA is filed under the name uncultured bacterium. RNAcentral describes it as "partial 16S ribosomal RNA". It matches the Rfam family "Bacterial small subunit ribosomal RNA", at positions 524 to 776 of the family's 1533-position model. The record is from RNAcentral.
UACAGAGGUCCCAAGCGUUGUUCGGAUUCACUGGGCGUAAAGGGUGCGUAGGUGGUCGGGUAAGUCCGAUGUGAAAGCCCCGGGCUCAACCUGGGAAUGGCAUUUGAUACUCGAGGGCUUGAGUACGGGAGAGGAGAGUGGAAUUCCCAGUGUAGAGGUGAAAUUCGUAGAUAUUGGGAAGAACACCGGUGGCGAAGGCGGCUCUCUGGACCGUAACUGACGCUGAGGCGCGAAAGCGUGGGGAGCAAACAGG